RNAcentral lists this ribosomal RNA (89 nucleotides) under Paenibacillus sp. S150. Lineage: Bacteria; Bacillati; Bacillota; Bacilli; Caryophanales; Paenibacillaceae. The record is from RNAcentral.
GCGUACCCAUCCCGAACACGACCGUUAAGCCCUCCAGCGCCGAUGGUACUUGGACCGAAGGGUCCCGGGAGAGUAGGACGCCGCCAAGC